AGUGAACGCUGGCGGUAGGCCUAACACAUGCAAGUCGAACGGCAGCACAGUAAGAGCUUGCUCUUACGGGUGGCGAGUGGCGGACGGGUGAGGAAUACAUCGGAAUCUACUUUUUCGUGGGGGAUAACGUAGGGAAACUUACGCUAAUACCGCAUACGACCUACGGGUGAAAGCAGGGGAUCUUCGGACCUUGCGCGAUUGAAUGAGCCGAUGUCGGAUUAGCUAGUUGGCCGGGUAAAGGCCCACCAAGGCGACGAUCCGUAGCUGGUCUGAGAGGAUGGUCAGCCACACUGGAGCUGAGACACGGACCAUACUACUACGGGAGGCAGCAGUGGGGAAUAUUGGACAAUGGGCGCGAGCAUGAUCCAGCCAUACCGAGUGGGUGAAGAAGGCCUUCGGGUUGUAAAGCCCUUUUGUUGGGAAAGAACAGCAGCAGGUUAAUACCCCGCUGUUCUGACGGUACCCAAAGAAUAAGCACCGGCUAACUUCGUG
This 492-nucleotide ribosomal RNA is filed under the name uncultured bacterium. RNAcentral describes it as "partial 16S ribosomal RNA". It matches the Rfam family "Bacterial small subunit ribosomal RNA", at positions 29 to 507 of the family's 1533-position model. The record is from RNAcentral.